UUUACGUCCCCUGCCCUUUGUACACACCGCCCGUCGCUACUACCGAUUGAAUGGCUCAGUGAGGCGUUCGGACUGGCCCAGGGAGGUCGGCAACGACCACCCAGGGCCGGAAAGUUCGUCAAACUUGGUCAUUUAGAGGAAGUAAAAGUCGUAACAAGGUCUCCGUAGGUGAACCUGCGGAGGGAUCAUUACCGAGUGAGGGCCUCCGGGUCCGACCUCCCACCCCAUGUUACUCCGACCCUGUUGCCUCGGGGGUGACCCGGCCUUCGGGCGCGCGGGCCCCCGGCGGACCACUCAAAAACACUGCAUCUUCGCGUCCGAGUAGAUAUUGAAUCAAUCAAAACUUUCAACAACGGAUCUCUUGGUUCUGGCAUCGAUGAAGAACGCAGCGAAAUGCGAUAAGUAAUGUGAAUUGCAGAAUUCAGUGAAUCAUCGAAUCUUUGAACGCACAUUGCGCCCUUUGGUAUUCCGAAGGGCAUGCCUGUUCGAGCGUCAUUUCACCACUCAAGCCUGGCUUGGUAUUGGGCGCCGCGGUCCUCCGCGCGCCCCAAUGUCUUCGGCCGAGCCGUCCGUCUCUAAGCGUUGUGGCAUUUUCAUUCGCUUGCGAGGCCGGGUGCGUUCGCGCCGUCAAAACUUCAUACAAAGGUUGACCUCGGAUCAGGUAGGGAUACCCGCUGAACUUAAGC
RNAcentral lists this ribosomal RNA (686 nucleotides) under Catenulostroma lignicola. RNAcentral describes it as "eukaryotic LSU rRNA". The stretch from base 1 to 191 matches the Rfam family "Eukaryotic small subunit ribosomal RNA", at positions 1644 to 1831 of the family's 1831-position model. The record is from RNAcentral. Lineage: Eukaryota; Fungi; Ascomycota; Dothideomycetes; Mycosphaerellales; Teratosphaeriaceae.